CUUGGUCUUUUUAGAGGAAGUAAAAGUCGUAACAAGGUCUCUCCUUGGUGACCCAGCGGAGGGAUCAUUACCGAGUUUACACUCCCAAAUCCCCUGUGGACCUAUACCUUUGCUGGUGCCUGGGCGGGCUCGGCCGCGGACGCCCCCUCGCGGGGGCACCGGGGAUUUCAGGGGCGGCCGCCGGAGGACCCAAACCCUUCUGUGUUCUCUUACGCAUGUCUGAGUGGAUUUACGAUUGAAUCAUAACUUUCAACUCCGGAUCUCUUGGUUCUGGCAUCGAUGAAGAACGCAGUGUAAAUGCGAUAAUUAAUGUGAAAUUGUGAGAAUUCAGCUGAUUCAUCUAAUCUUUGAAUUUCACAUUGCGCCCUCCAGUACUCUGGCGGGCAUGCCUGUUCGAGCGUCAUUUCAACCCUCAAGCCCGCUGCGUGCUUGGUGUUGGGGACCGGCCAGCCCGCCUCGGGGCGGCCGGCCGCCCCUGAGAUGAAUUGGCGGUCUCGCCGCAGCGUUCUUUGCGUAGUAGCAUACCACCUCGCCACCAGGAGCGCGGCGCGGCCACUGCCGUAAAACGCCCAACUUCUCCAAGAGUUGACCUCGAAUCAGGUAGGAAUACCCGCUGAACUUAACAUAUCAAUAAGCGGAGGAA
Molecule: ribosomal RNA, 643 nt
Filed under: uncultured Epichloe
Lineage: Eukaryota; Fungi; Ascomycota; Sordariomycetes; Hypocreales; Clavicipitaceae
Description: eukaryotic LSU rRNA
Rfam family: 5.8S ribosomal RNA (bases 245-403)
Source: RNAcentral